This 301-nucleotide ribosomal RNA is filed under the name uncultured bacterium. RNAcentral describes it as "partial 16S ribosomal RNA". It matches the Rfam family "Bacterial small subunit ribosomal RNA", at positions 509 to 809 of the family's 1533-position model. The record is from RNAcentral.
CAGUAGCCGCGGUAAUACGAAGGGUGCAAGCGUUACUCGGAAUUACUGGGCGUAAAGCGUGCGUAGGUGGUGGUUUAAGUCCGUUGUGAAAGCCCUGGGCUCAACCUGGGAAUUGCAGUGGAUACUGGGUCACUAGAGUGUGGUAGAGGAUAGUGGAAUUUCCGGUGUAGCAGUGAAAUGCGUAGAGAUCGGAAGGAAUAUCUGUGGCGAAGGCGACUAUCUGGGCCAACACUGACACUGAGGCACGAAAGCGUGGGGAGCAAACAGGAUUAGAUACCCCUGUAGUCCCUGUCUCUUAUAA